AGAUGAUGAGGAGGCACCAGCAAAAGAGACUGAGAAAGAGUGGGCAGGCAAAUGGAAGAAAGACCGGGCACAAUGAAGGGCAGGAUUAGAGUGCAGGGGCCAGCCAUGCCCUCCCGGGAGACUGGCCCCUAGCGCUGCCGGAGGGCAGAGAGUGGCACAUGGCUCAGCCUUUGGCACUCAGGUGAGGAAACUGAGCCUGAGACCGAACAAGGAUGAGGAAACUUGAGGCUCAGAAUGGUUAAUUACCUCGCCUAAGGUUACUGAUUAAUAAAUCACUGAGUAGAGACUGAAACCCACAUCUGUCUACCAGCAAAGGCUGUCCAUACUACACCAUGUUAUCUCCAAAUGAAACCUCAUAUGAAGUUGCUGCAGAAACUCUAUGGGAAAAAAAGACUUUUAGAUCUUCUGGAACUACAACAUCUAGUCUCCGUGAAUCUGCACCAUCUCUUAGCACUGGGUCCUGGGAGGAGGGGGUGCUUCCACCAGCUCCCUCCCCUUCUUCCUGCCAUGUUCCUACUUCCUAAGAAGCAAAGACAAACUUGAGUUAGGAUCAACAUGAGGAGCCCACAGUGGGUUAAUGUGACAGAUGCAUCUCCCUGGGUGGCAGAGUGGGCUUCUUGUGGGGUGACAGUCACUGAAGUAUGCUUCCAACUCGAGAGUCCUGGACAUGUGUGGACACGACAGUGUGCUGACCACGAGUGAAUGUAUAGGCAAGUCUUCCUGGAAAACA
Molecule: long non-coding RNA, 730 nt
Filed under: Homo sapiens (human)
Lineage: Eukaryota; Metazoa; Chordata; Mammalia; Primates; Hominidae
Description: non-protein coding lnc-TRIM29-1:3
Source: RNAcentral